GCCUGGGUGGCUCAGUUGGUUAAGCGUCUGACUUUGGCUCAGGUCAUGAACUCAUGAGUUCGUGAGUUCAAGCCCCACGUCGGGCU
RNAcentral lists this transfer RNA (86 nucleotides) under Felis catus (domestic cat). It matches the Rfam family "tRNA". Rfam says of the family: Transfer RNA (tRNA) molecules are approximately 80 nucleotides in length. Their secondary structure includes four short double-helical elements and three loops (D, anti-codon, and T loops). Further hydrogen bonds mediate the characteristic L-shaped molecular structure. tRNAs have two regions of fundamental functional importance: the anti-codon, which is responsible for specific mRNA codon recognition, and the 3' end, to which the tRNAs corresponding amino acid is attached (by aminoacyl-tRNA synthetases). tRNAs cope with the degeneracy of the genetic code in two manners: having more than one tRNA (with a specific anti-codon) for a particular amino acid; and 'wobble' base-pairing, i.e. permitting non-standard base-pairing at the 3rd anti-codon position. The record is from Rfam by way of RNAcentral. Lineage: Eukaryota; Metazoa; Chordata; Mammalia; Carnivora; Felidae.